Molecule: ribosomal RNA, 468 nt
Filed under: uncultured bacterium
Lineage: Bacteria
Description: bacterial SSU rRNA
Rfam family: Bacterial small subunit ribosomal RNA
Source: RNAcentral
AGAGUUUGAUCCUGGCUCAGAACGAACGCUGGCGGCAGGCCUAACACAUGCAAGUCGAGCGCGCCUUCGGGUGAGCGGCGGACGGGUUAGUAACGCGUGGGAACGUGCCCUUUUCUACGGAAUAGCCUCUGGAAACGGAGAGUAAUACCGUAUACGCCCUUUGGGGGAAAGAUUUAUCGGAGAAGGAUCGGCCCGCGUUAGAUUAGGUAGUUGGUGGGGUAACGGCCUACCAAGCCUACGAUCUAUAGCUGGUUUUAGAGGAUGAUCAGCAACACUGGGACUGAGACACGGCCCAGACUCCUACGGGAGGCAGCAGUGGGGAAUCUUAGACAAUGGGGGCAACCCUGAUCUAGCCAUGCUGCGUGAGUGAUGAAGGCCUUAGGGUCGUAAAGCUCUUUCGCCUGUGAUGAUAAUGACAGUAGCAGGUAAAGAAACCCCGGCUAACUCCGUGCCAGCAGCCGCGGUAAU